This 466-nucleotide ribosomal RNA is filed under the name Vreelandella stevensii. Its description in RNAcentral is "partial 16S ribosomal RNA". It matches the Rfam family "Bacterial small subunit ribosomal RNA", at positions 338 to 795 of the family's 1533-position model. The record is from RNAcentral. Lineage: Bacteria; Pseudomonadati; Pseudomonadota; Gammaproteobacteria; Oceanospirillales; Halomonadaceae.
CCUACGGGGUGCUGCAGUGGGGAAUAUUGGACAAUGGGCGAAAGCCUGAUCCAGCCAUGCCGCGUGUGUGAAGAAGGCCUUCGGGUUGUAAAGCACUUUCAGUGGGGAAGAAAGCCUUGGGGCUAAUACCCUCGAGGAAGGACAUCACCCACAGAAGAAGCACCGGCUAACGUCCGUGCCAGCAGCCGCGGUAAUACGGAGGGUGCGAGCGUUAAUCGGAAUUACUGGGCGUAAAGCGCGCGUAGGCGGUCUGAUAAGCCGGUUGUGAAAGCCCCGGGCUCAACCUGGGAACGGCAUCCGGAACUGUCAGGCUAGAGUGCAGGAGAGGAAGGUAGAAUUCCCGGUGUAGCAGUGAAAUGCGUAGAGAUCGGGAGGAAUACCAGUGGCGAAGGCGGCCUUCUGGACUGACACUGACGCUGAGGUGCGAAAGCGUGGGUAGCAAACAGGAUUAGAUACCCGAGUAGUC